Molecule: ribosomal RNA, 365 nt
Filed under: uncultured myxomycete
Lineage: Eukaryota; Evosea; Eumycetozoa
Description: SSU rRNA
Rfam family: Eukaryotic small subunit ribosomal RNA
Source: RNAcentral
UCUCUCUGAAUCUGCGAACGGCUCCGCACACCAGUUGUAAACUAUAGCAAGAACGUCUGUGAUCCUUCGGGAGCGCAGUCAUACGGAUAACCCUGGUAAUUCUGAGGCUAAUACGAGAACGUACAACCUGAUCGACCGGGCAACUGGAAGGUCAGGAGGUGUGUGAUCAAGCACGAGGAAUCUGCUAGGAACAGUCGCACGCCUGGACCGCGCAAAAACCAGUCGGAAGCCUCACGGUUUUCGUCUGAGCGGCACUUGCUUUGUGCUUCUGACCUAUCAACUAGAUGGCAGCGUAAUGGACAUGCUAUGGUUACAACGGGUACAGAGGAUAAGGGUUCGAUCCUGGAGAGUGGGCCUGAGAGAUU